GACGAACGCUGGCGGCGUGCCUAAUACAUGCAAGUAGAACGCACAGUUUAUACCGUAGCUUGCUACACCAUAAACUGUGAGUUGCGAACGGGUGAGUAACGCGUAGGUAACCUGCCUGGUAGCGGGGGAUAACUAUUGGAAACGAUAGCUAAUACCGCAUAAUAUUGGUUAUUGCAUGAUAAUUGAUUGAAAGAUGCUAUUGCAUCACUACCAGAUGGACCUGCGUUGUAUUAGCUAGUAGGUGAGGUAACGGCUCACCUAGGCGACGAUACAUAGCCGACCUGAGAGGGUGAUCGGCCACACUGGGACUGAGACACGGCCCAGACUCCUACGGGAGGCAGCAGUAGGGAAUCUUCGGCAAUGGACGAAAGUCUGACCGAGCAACGCCGCGUGAGUGAAGAAGGUUUUCGGAUCGUAAAGCUCUGUUGUAAGAGAAGAACGGGUGUGAGAGUGGAAAGUUCACACUGUGACGGUAUCUUACCAGAAAGGGACGGCUAACUACGUG
Molecule: ribosomal RNA, 505 nt
Filed under: uncultured bacterium
Lineage: Bacteria
Description: partial 16S ribosomal RNA
Rfam family: Bacterial small subunit ribosomal RNA
Source: RNAcentral